This 440-nucleotide ribosomal RNA is filed under the name uncultured bacterium. RNAcentral's name for it is "partial 16S ribosomal RNA". It matches the Rfam family "Bacterial small subunit ribosomal RNA", at positions 338 to 795 of the family's 1533-position model. The record is from RNAcentral.
CCUACGGGAGGCAGCAGUGGGGAAUAUUGCACAAUGGGGGAAACCCUGAUGCAGCGACGCCGCGUGAGUGAGGAAGUAUUUCGGUAUGUAAAGCUCUAUCAGCAGGGAAGAAAAUGACGGUGCCUGACUAAGAAGCACCGGCUAAAUACGUGCCAGCAGCCGCGGUGAUACGUAGGGGGCAAGCGUUAUCCGGAUUUAUUGGGGGUGAAGGGGGGGUAGACGGCUAAGCAAGUCAGAAGUGAAAACCCAGGGCUCAACCUUGGGACUGCUUGUGAAACUGAGUAGCUAGAGUGCAGGAGAGGUGAGUGGAAUUCCUAGUGUAGCGGUGAAAUGCGUAGAUAUUAGGAGGAACACCAGUGGCGAAGGCGGCUUACUGGACUGUAACUGACGUUGAGGCUCGAAAGCGUGGGGAGCAAACAGGAUUAGAUACCCUUGUAGUC